CCUGGCGGCUUUAGCGCGGUGGUCCCACCUGACCCCAUGCCGAACUCAGAAGUGAAACGCCGUAGCGCCGAUGGUAGUGUGGGGUCUCCCCAUGUGAGAGUAGGACACUGCCAGGC
RNAcentral lists this ribosomal RNA (116 nucleotides) under Yokenella regensburgei. The record is from RNAcentral. Lineage: Bacteria; Pseudomonadati; Pseudomonadota; Gammaproteobacteria; Enterobacterales; Enterobacteriaceae.